Molecule: long non-coding RNA, 665 nt
Organism: Vidua macroura (Pin-tailed whydah)
Lineage: Eukaryota; Metazoa; Chordata; Aves; Passeriformes; Viduidae
Exons: 2
Source: RefSeq, a predicted model, not a curated record
GAGUGACCUCAACUCCCGCUGGCUUUGCCCCAGCUGGGCAUGAGAGCACGGGAAAGACUCGUGUUUGUCGGGAAAGUCUGGUGUUUUUCAUCCCCCUCCUCACAACCUCCAGGUUUCAGGUGUUCCGGCGCUGCCGCCCGGUGGCCAUCGCUGGUACCGCACCAGCCCCGCGCCCGGCCGGAACCCCCGCGGAUCCCGGGAAAUCGCCGCGGAUCCCGGGAAAAAUUUUGGGAAUCCCCAACUCUGCGGAAUCAUCGGGGACCCGGGGCAUGCCCCGCUCACAUCAGAGCACAAGAAAGCGCAAUUAAACAGAACUGUUCAAAGUUUGUCCCUAAGACUGCCCUAAUGGCAUAAAAAAUUUUAAAAGUAUGGGGAGAGAGGCACAAAUGAGGACACACAACCCCAUUCCUGCCUCCAGAACUCUUUGCGCACCUCCCAUGGGAAGGUUUGGAGGCUGCACAGGACUGGUCUCCCUGAAGAGCCAGGUCUGAGUGCCACAGGAAGAAGAAGAAGAUAAUCUGCUCUUGUUAGGACAUGACCUCCAGGAUUUGUCUUCACAUACAGACAAAGAAAUAUUUUAGACACCAAUUCUGCUGCCCACUUCUUUGCCUUUCUUUAUUUUUUUAACCUUUAUCAAUAUAUUCUGUCCUGAUAUUUCCAACCAA